UUUUGGGCUGCACCUGUGGCAUAUGGAAGUUCCCAGGCUAGGGGUUGAAUUAGAGCUGCAGCUGCCGGCCUACGUCACAAGCCACAGCAACACCAGAUCUGAGCCACGUCUGCCACCUACACCACAGCUCACAGCGCCAGAUCCUUAACCCACUGAGCGAGGCCAGGGAUUGAACCCACAUCCUCAUGGAUACUAGUUGGGUUCAUUUACUGCUGAGCCACGAUGGGAACUCCCCCCUCCAGCUUCUGACUGACCCGCUCCCCUGCAUGCUCCCCUCCAGGGAUUUGGGGACAGGACCUCCAAAACGUUGACCUGGCUCAGCCCUUCAGCCCUCCCAGCUCCUCCCAGGUGCUCUGUGUUCUCAACAUGACUCUCAAGCCUCUGGUGGGUGCUGGUGGGAUUCUGGAUGACCAGGGGCAGGGAUGGGGGGUGGGGGUGGGAGCAGGGAAAAGCUUCAAAAACUAGAGGAAGAAAGGAGGGGAUCUGGCUGUAGGGGGCGUGCGCAGAGGUUUGCUUGCAGCCGUGUAGCUGGGACAAAGUUUCCAUCCGGAGGGUGGAGGAAGAGCCCAAGGACAGUCCCUUUCUGCCCCUGUCACUUCUUCCUCUUGCCUUCCUCCAGCAGUAUCCCCAAAGCCCGCCCCUCCCCCACUCCAUCCCUCAACCUUGAACCUGAGUGUUUGAUUUGGAACCGGAAGAAGUUUAACGUGGGUCACUGAAAGUUGCCACCUCAGCCCCACCUCCCCAGCCUGGCCUGACCACCGCCACCCGUGUCUCCAACCCUCUGCCUUUGGCUGACUUGAAAGUACCCAUCAUGCCACUGCCCAAAGGCACCACCCAGAGCCAGGAAACCCCAGAGACUGAAAGAGGCACUCUGUCUUUUGAUUCAAGAGCCUGAAGACCGCUAGGAGCUCUAGCUAUGGCAGUCUCCCUUCUCUGGUUCCUGUGCAGUGUUCUAGCGAUGAGCGUGGGUGCGGGUGAUGCUGGAGUGAGGAAGGAGUUGGGAGGGAGUGUAAACCCGGCCAGCCUCCCCGCUGCCCCUCCGGAGCUCCCGGUGCCCAGCCCUGGACACACCCUGGCCAGAGCCAGCUGUUUGCAGACCUGAGCCGAGAAGAGCUGACGGCUGUGAUGAACUUUCUGACCCAGAAGCUGGGGCCAGGCCUGGUGGAUGCCGCCCAGGCCCGACCCGCAGACAACUGCAUCUUCUCAGUGGAGCUGCAGCUGCCCCCCAAGGCGGCAGCCCUGGCCCACCUGGACAGGGGGAGUCCCCCGCCUGCCCGGGAGGCCCUGGCCAUCAUCUUCUUUGGCGGACAACCCCAGCCCAAUGUGACCGAGCUGGUGGUGGGGCCGCUGCCCCAGCCCUCCUACGUGCGGGAUGUGACUGUGGAGCGUCACGGAGGCCCCCUGCCCUACCACCGACGCCCCGUGCUCAUGCGAGAGUACCUGGACAUCGACCAGAUGAUCUUCCGCAGGGAGCUGCCCCAGGCUGCUGGUCUCCUCCACCACUGCUGCUUCUAUAGCAGCCAAAGUCAGAACCUGGUGACCAUGAACUCAGCCCCCCGUGGUCUGCAGUCAGGGGACCGGGCCACCUGGUUUGGCCUCUACUACAACAUCUCAGGGGCCGGGUUUUACCUGCACCCGGUGGGGUUGGAACUGCUGGUAGACCACAAGGCUCUGGACCCUGCCCUCUGGACCAUCCAGAAGGUCUUCUUUCAAGGCCGCUACUAUGAGAGCCUGGCCCAUCUGGAGGAGCAGUUUGAGGCCGGCCUGGUGAACGUGGUGGUGAUCCCAGACAAUGGCACAGAUGCGUCCUGGUCCCUGAAGUCCCGGGUGCCCCCAGGUCCAGCUCCUCCUCUGCAGUUCUAUCCGCAGGGCCCCCGCUUCAGUGUCCAGGGGAGUCACGUGGCCUCCUCGUUGUGGACUUUUUCCUUUGGCCUUGGAGCUUUCAGUGGCCCAAGGAUCUUUGACAUCCGCUUCCAAGGGGAGAGAGUGGCUUAUGAAGUCAGCGUCCAGGAGGCCUUGGCUGUCUAUGGUGGUAAUUCUCCUUCUGCCCUGAGAGGUCGGUAUGCAGAUGCCAGUUUUGGCUUGGGCCACUUCUCCACCCCGCUGACCCGUGGGGUGGACUGUCCCUAUCUGGCCACCUAUGUGGACUGGCCCUUCCUUCUGGAGUCUCAGGUCUCCAAGACACUACGUGAUGCCUUUUGUGUGUUCGAACAGAACCAGGGCCUCCCUGUGAGGCGACACCACUCAGAUAUUCGCUCCCACUACUUUGGGGGCCUUGCAAAGACAGUGCUGGUCGUCAGAUCUGUGUCCACCAUGCUCAACUAUGACUACGUGUGGGACAUGAUCUUCCACCCCAAUGGAGCCAUUGAAGUCAAAUUACACACCACGGGCUAUAUUGGCUCAUCAUUCCUCUUCGGCGAUGUCCAAAGUUUCGGAAACAGGGUUGGGGAGCACACCCUGGGCACCGUCCACACCCAUAGCGCCCACUUCAAGGUGGAUCUGGAUGUGGGAGGACUGGAGAACUGGGUCUGGGCCGAGGACACAACAUUCGUCCCCACGGCGGUACCCUGGAGCCCUGAGCGCCAGAUACAGAGGCUGCAGUUGACCCGGAAGGUGCUGGAGACGGAGGAGCAGGCCGCCUUCCCCGUGGGAGGUGCGGCCCCUCGCUACCUGUACCUGGCCAGCAACCAGAGCAACAAGUGGGGGCACCCGCGGGGCUACCGCAUCCAGAUAGUCAGCUUUUCUGGGGAGCCGCUGCCCCAGAGCAGCUCCAUGGCAGGAGCUUUCAGCUGGGAGAGGUGGGUGGUGUGGCCAGGAUGGCAGGGGUGGGGGUCGGGGUGAGAGUGAGAAGGGAGGGUGGGGAAAUCAAUUCAGAUUGUACUCGAGGUGUAGGAAAAACUUGAAAAGGAUUUCCUGGUUAUCGAAAGUCCCACAGUGGAUACACGGUCCCCUGAAAUGCUAAAGGUGAGUGGCGGGGGAUCAGAGAGGCACUGGGGGAGGCGGACUGUUUGGGAGGCUACAUGUUACUGGGAACCCAGCUUCCCCCACCUCCCAUGGGUGUGUGUGCACAUACACACUCACGAUCACAAACACACACACACACUCCUGCUGCCACAAUCUUAGGCCACUCAAAAUGAAGCCUCCUGGUUGGAGAGAGACAUGCUGAACCACAUACGAUGGAAUGUCCAAGAUACCAGCUGGCCGUGACCCGGAGGAAGGAGGAGGAGCCCAGCAGCAGCAGCAUCUACAAUUUGAAUGACCCCUGGACCCCCACCCUGGAUUUCACUGACUUCAUCAACAAUGAGACCAUUGCUGGGCAGGACUUGGUGGCCUGGGUGACAGCCGGUUUCCUGCACAUCCCACACGCAGAGGACAUCCCCAACACGGUGACGGUGGCGAACAGUGUGGGUUUCUUCCUCCGACCCUACAACUUCUUUGACCAGGACCCCUCCAUCAAUUCUGCUGACUCCAUCUACUUCCGGGAGGACCAGGAUCCUGGGGCCUGUGAUGUCAACCCCCUGGCUUGCCUCUCCGAGGCUGCUGCCUGCGCCCCCGACCUCCCUGCCUUCUCCCACGGGGGCUUCUUUCACAACUAGGGGGUCCCUGGGAUGGGGAAUGUGGCCGGGGCUGCAGGGCCAGGGGGUGUGGGGCCGGGGGGCGAAGGGCACUGGGCCGGGCAGCGUGUCGCCUGUUCUCCUUCCUCAGACCCCAAGGUCCUCUCUCUCCAUCGCCCUGCCUUGCCUCCCCUCCUUGCUGGGAGCAUCCUGAGCCUGUGAUGCCUGACACAGGGGUACUCAGCUUUGUGGACCCCAGACCUGCUGGGUUCCUGUUGCAGAAAGGAGAGGAAUGGCCAAAUGGGAGCUUGGAGUGAUGGCUGAACUUUUCCCAGAAGACUCCUGUGUUUUUCUAACAGUUUUUUAAUCUUAUUUUUAAAUGAGAUAGAAUUCACAUACUGUGAAAUUCACCCUUUUAACGUGUACAAUUUAAUGGGUUUUAGAACCUUCAUAAAGUUGUGCAACCAUUGCCACUAAUUCCAGCACAUUUUCAUCAUCCCAGCAAGAAACCCCAGAACCUGUUAGUAGUCACCUCCUAUUUCCCUCCAACCCCUUCCCAGCUCUAGGCAACCAUUAGCCUUUCUGUCACUGAAGAUUUACCUAUAUUCUGGAAAUUUAGUAUAAAUAGAUUCAUGCAAUAAGCGGUCUUUUGUGA
Sus scrofa (pig) is the source of this 4209-nucleotide non-coding RNA. The record is from RefSeq and is a predicted model, not a curated record. Lineage: Eukaryota; Metazoa; Chordata; Mammalia; Artiodactyla; Suidae.